CUGAUUGGUUGGUUGGUAGUCAAUGAAUAAUUUUAAUAUUAUUAGUUUAAAUUAUGUGAAAGUUAAACUGUUUUUACAAUUUUCAAACAAGUAGUUUUUGGGGAGAAGUUGUAUAAACAUGUUUGAAGAGGAAAGUAGUAGUGAUAUUAACGAAACAUUGAUUGAAGAAGCAUUAACAAACAUUUGGAAAAUUACAUUGAAAAUAAAGAGAGAAUUGGACAUAAUAAAUGACCUUGUAAAAGAAAAUGGAAAUUUCUGCUCAGCAGUCAUACAUACAAACCAGAACUUAAUGAAAAUACUUGAAGAAAAAGGUAUAGAUUUAUCUGCAAUUGAAGAAGAAAAAGAGAAUAAUGAAGAUAGUAAUAUUUUGGAGAGUGAAAAUGGAUCAGAUAUUAUAAAUCCUCUUGUACCAGUUAUAAAUAGAUUUUCCAAGAUUCCAUAAAAUAGCUAAUAAUUCAUUCUAAUAAAUAAUUGUAUUGUAA
Molecule: long non-coding RNA, 482 nt
Filed under: Polistes canadensis
Lineage: Eukaryota; Metazoa; Arthropoda; Insecta; Hymenoptera; Vespidae
Description: uncharacterized LOC106784584, transcript variant X2
Source: RNAcentral